AUUUAUAUAAUAUAAAUAAUUAUGUUUGACUUCCAAUCAAAAAAUCUAAGAAAUUAGUAUAAAUA
Molecule: transfer RNA, 65 nt
Filed under: Cucujus sp. MJ-2020
Lineage: Eukaryota; Metazoa; Arthropoda; Insecta; Coleoptera; Cucujidae
Description: tRNA-Gly
Source: RNAcentral